This 90-nucleotide transfer RNA is filed under the name Acidobacteriaceae bacterium. RNAcentral's name for it is "tRNA-Ser". It matches the Rfam family "tRNA". From Rfam's summary of the family: Transfer RNA (tRNA) molecules are approximately 80 nucleotides in length. Their secondary structure includes four short double-helical elements and three loops (D, anti-codon, and T loops). The record is from RNAcentral. RNAcentral also lists the same sequence under 2 other names. Lineage: Bacteria; Pseudomonadati; Acidobacteriota; Terriglobia; Terriglobales; Acidobacteriaceae.
GGAGAGAUGGCCGAGUGGCUGAAGGCGCACGCUUGGAAAGCGUGUAUACGUGAAAGCGUAUCCAGGGUUCGAAUCCCUGUCUCUCCGCCA